This 242-nucleotide ribosomal RNA is filed under the name uncultured bacterium. Its description in RNAcentral is "partial 16S ribosomal RNA". It matches the Rfam family "Bacterial small subunit ribosomal RNA", at positions 536 to 776 of the family's 1533-position model. The record is from RNAcentral.
AAGCGUUGUUCGGAAUUACUGGGCGUAAAGGGCGCGCAGGCGGCUGCUCAAGUCAGGCGUGAAAGGCCUGGGCUCAACCCGGGAAUUGCGCUUGAGACUGGGCUGGCUUGAGUGCGGGAGAGGAUGGUGGAAUUCCCAGUGUAGAGGUGAAAUUCGUAGAUAUUGGGAAGAACACCGGUGGCGAAGGCGGCCAUCUGGACCGCAACUGACGCUGAGGCGCGAAAGCGUGGGGAGCGAACAGG